Paramuricea clavata is the source of this 71-nucleotide non-coding RNA. The record is from the annotation of a GenBank genome assembly. Lineage: Eukaryota; Metazoa; Cnidaria; Anthozoa; Malacalcyonacea; Plexauridae.
GUCUUUGUAGCUCACUUGGUUAGAGCGCUGCAACGGAAUCGCAGGGCACGUUCGAUUCCUGAUCGAGGAUC